GACGAACGCUGGCGGCGUGCUUAACACAUGCAAGUCGAACGAAGAGCGAUGGAAGCUUGCUUCUAUCAAUCUUAGUGGCGAACGGGUGAGUAACGCGUAAUCAACCUGCCCUUCAGAGGGGGACAACAGUUGGAAACGACUGCUAAUACCGCAUACGAUCUAAUCUCGGCAUCGAGGAUAGAUGAAAGGUGGCCUCUACAUGUAAGCUAUCACUGAAGGAGGGGAUUGCGUCUGAUUAGCUAGUUGGAGGGGUAACGGCCCACCAAGGCGAUGAUCAGUAGCCGGUCUGAGAGGGUGAGCGGCCACAUUGGAACUGAGACACGGCCCAGACUCCUACGGGAGGCAGCAGUGGGGAAUCUUCCGCAAUGGACGAAAGUCUGACGGAGCAACGCCGCGUGAGCGAUGACGGCCUUCGGGUUGUAAAGCUCUGUUAAUCGGGACGAAAGGCCUUCUUGCGAAUAGUGAGAAGGAUUGACGGUACCGGAAUAGAAAGCCACGGCUAACUACGU
Molecule: ribosomal RNA, 509 nt
Filed under: uncultured bacterium
Lineage: Bacteria
Description: partial 16S ribosomal RNA
Rfam family: Bacterial small subunit ribosomal RNA
Source: RNAcentral